This is a long non-coding RNA of Corvus hawaiiensis (hawaiian crow), 2398 nucleotides long. RefSeq lists it as uncharacterized. The transcript has 2 exons. NCBI's taxonomy places the organism in Eukaryota, Metazoa, Chordata, Aves, Passeriformes, Corvidae. The record is from RefSeq and is a predicted model, not a curated record.
UGGAUGCAGAUUGCGGUGAGACGCAGAGAUUGCGGUUAGACGCAGAUUGCGGUGAGACGCAGAUAUUGCGGUUAGACGCAGAUGUUGCGGUGAGACACAGAUACAGCGGUAAGACGCGGAAUUGCGGUUAGACGCAGAUUGCGGUGAGACGCAGAUAUUGCGGUGGGACGCAGAUAUUGUGGUGAGAUGCAGACUUGCGGUAGGACGCAGAUACGGAAACAGAGGUGGCCCUUGAUUUAUUUUUACGCUUUUUUGAAAAGCGGGGACUUAAGGAAGUAAACCUUUAUAAGGAACUAGCUGAUCCAAGAUCGUUUAAAAAGAAAGCUAAAGAAGCAAAAGCUCUCAAAGUAACCUGGAGAGCAGUAACUAGCACUCUCACAGAGAUAAAAACAGAAAAGACAGUGGCCGCAGCCGCCAUAGAGACUUUAGAGAGUGGCAACGCUGGCUGUAACGGCUCCGGGAAAGGAACAGACGGGGUCUUACGGAGCGGCGGGCAGAGACCGGAGUGGAGCUGCUAAACUCGGCAGAGCAGAAUGUUACCCCUCCGACAUCUGAGGGAGAAAUGGUCGCGAACGCGGAAGCAGAGCCACCAGACCCAGGGGGUGGGGCGCAGGCGGGCCAAGGAGACACAGGCAGUCCGGGUGCCCUGCUGAAAGCGGCAGAGCAACGGAGCGGUCCUAAAGCCCAGCCAAAAGCGGCAGAGAGCAACGCCCCCCGCCGAACAGCAGAACAUCUGGCAGCAGAGCGGCUUCUGCGGUUUCAUCGCCUGCAAAGCCAAAGCCAGCCAGGGCUGCCGGAACUCAGCCCCAAAAGAGGGAGAAACACCAAGAAAUGAUGCAAGAAGUAAUCAGAAAGCUUGCUGACUUAUCUACACGAAGCAUUUUGCAGUCUAUCUUUACAGCAGAUGUCCUGUGUUCAAAUUACUACAUCAGCAUCGUACAGUUGUUGUUAACCCCUUCACAGUUCCUGCUCUGGGAACGAACGUGGACUGCAAUGCUGCAGAAUGUCCUGCAACAACAGGGACAAGUCAUCCCUGCAUCACUAACCAGAGAGGUGCCCAGCAAGUGGUGCCGUGCUACAGGACCCCGAAGCAAGAAGGCAAAGUCAGCAUCAGCUCCUGAGGAAAGUGACGCCACUACUUCAACAGCUAGAACUCUGAGACCUCUGUCCCGAGGAGCCUUGGGAGAGGCUGCAGACGUGACUGAGUGAAGGAGCUGAGGACUUGCCAGAUCCACCACUCUCCAUAGCAGGAGAAAUAGCGAGACUCUGGGGCGAAAGUAACAGCUGCCCUAGGUGGUUGCUAGUGACUUGUGGUGGGUGUCGGAGAACUUUCUCCAAAGACAAAACUAAAAAGGAGAGUUGCAUAAAUUUUUGGGUAUAACACCAAACACAGAAGUAAAGUGAAAAAUUGUUUUUUGACUGUCUUGAAACAAGAGCAUUAGCAGACAUUUUCAAUCAGCUGUCUGCCCAUUUAGAUCAAGUGAAAACAGUCAGUUUGGCUAGCAUUUAUGUUUUUACCUGGUACUUUAGCAGCCAGGGCUUAUGCUAUUUUGCAUAAACUUGCUUGCUGGGAGAGGGGUAAGUUAAACAUAACUUUGCAAAUGCUUGAUGAGUUAAGUGUAAAUGUUACUAGUGUUAGACAUACAAUAUUAUAAAAUUAAGUAGCAAUUGACUUUCUACUAUUAGCUCACAGCCACAGCUGUGAAAAGUUCUAAGGUAUGUGCUAUAUAAAUCUUUCUAACCACUCUGUCCUAAUUCAUAAGCAGAUAAGUAAGUUACAUCAAUUAACCACCCAAUUACAGAAAGAAGAUGGUCUCGGCUUAAAAAGAUGGUUAAAGUUACUAGGUUUAAAAUCAUGGCUAGUUUUAUUUGUGUAGCAUUUGAUUACUGUAGGACUAGUAAUAUUGUUAAUAAUAGUGUGCUUACCUUGCCUAUGCCAAUGCUUGCAGAAGAUGAUAUACAAAGUCACUACAUCUGUGACCAAUCAAGUAUUGCUUGUACAAAAAGAAAAAGGGGGAAUUACUGAAGAAUAGUUAGAGGAUCAGGGGCAUGAGUCAUUGAUAGAAUUAUGGGAACUGUACAAGCAAAAGGCCUGCAAGCAAAGGCUAGUGUGAGAAACUGCCUGCAUGAGAAAGCACCUGUGUGAGAAACAAGCCUGGGAACAAGAAGGGAGUUUUUAGGAUGUGCGGCUGUGCAGAUAAGAUGUACUGACCAGGAGAAGGGAGGGUGAACUCUGAAUUCUUUAAUCAUAACAUAACUAGUAGAAGCUUGCCAAUGUAGUCUAAUUAUGUAGAAGCAAAAACGCACUUUGAUAGGUUUAUGCCACUUAAGAGUUAACAAGCUGAGAUACUAUAUAAGUGCCUCUGGAUUGCUAAUAAACGGAGCUUGCUUUUAUCAA